Molecule: ribosomal RNA, 274 nt
Filed under: uncultured bacterium
Lineage: Bacteria
Description: partial 16S ribosomal RNA
Rfam family: Bacterial small subunit ribosomal RNA
Source: RNAcentral
AUACAGAGGGUGCGAGCGUUAAUCGGAAUUACUGGGCGUAAAGCGCGCGUAGGCGGCUUGAUAAGUCGGAUGUGAAAGCCCCGGGCUUAACCUGGGAAUUGCAUUCGAAACUGUCAGACUAGGGUACGGUAGAGGGUAGUGGAAUUCCGGGUGUAGCGGUGAAAUGCGUAGAUAUCCGGAGGAACACCAGUGGCGAAGGCGGCUACCUGGACCAAUACUGACGCUCAGGUGCGAAAGCGUGGGGAGCAAACAGGAUUAGAAACCCGGGUAGUCC